AAAGUCGUAACAAGGUUUCCGUAGGUGAACCUGCGGAAGGAUCAUUAACAUUGGUCAUUUUUAUGGUGCCGUCCAGGCGCCGUGAGAUGGCCUCAACUAGAGGAGGUUUCUUCAUCAAAGAAGAGACCCCAACAAAGGCUGAUGACGAAGUUUUGUAUCUUUGACACCACACACAGUCCUUUAUCCUCGCAAAACAAAGUGAUGGCUCGGAAAAGAUUCUCCUAACUAUUAUCCUCUCUUCUAAGUUCUCCAUGAUAAACAUAAACAACUAAAAACUUUUGACAACGGAUCUCUUGGCUCUC
Molecule: unclassified non-coding RNA, 302 nt
Filed under: Basidiomycota sp.
Lineage: Eukaryota; Fungi; Basidiomycota
Description: partial contains small subunit ribosomal RNA, internal transcribed spacer 1, and 5.8S ribosomal RNA
Rfam family: Eukaryotic small subunit ribosomal RNA (bases 1-47)
Source: RNAcentral